Molecule: small nuclear RNA, 105 nt
Organism: Herpailurus yagouaroundi (jaguarundi)
Lineage: Eukaryota; Metazoa; Chordata; Mammalia; Carnivora; Felidae
Source: RefSeq, a predicted model, not a curated record
GUGCUUGUUUAAGCAGCAUGUAUACUAAAAUUGGAAUGAUAACAGAAUUUUGUAUGGCCCUUGUGCAAGGAUGAUACACAAAUUUGUGAAGGGUUCCAUAUGUAA